AUUGAACGCUGGCGGCAGGCCUAACACAUGCAAGUCGAGCGGAAGGGGCUUCGGCCCUGAGAGCGGCGGACGGGUGAGGAGAGCGUGGGAAUCUGCCUGUAGAUGGGGGAUAGCCCGGAGAAAUCCGGAUUAAUACCGCAUAAUACCUGAGGGUUAAAGUGGAGGAUCGCAAGACUUCACGUCUACGGAUGAGCCCACGUCAGAUUAGCUAGUUGGUAGGGUAAAGGCCUACCAAGGCGACGAUCUGUAGCUGGCCUGAGAGGGUGGCCAGCCACACUGGAACUGAGACACGGUCCAGACCCCUACGGGAGGCAGCAGUGGGGAAUAUUGGACAAUGGGCGCAAGCCUGAUCCAGCCAUGCCGCGUGUGUGAAGAAGGCCUUCGGGUUGUAAAGCACUUUAAGUUGGGAGGAAGGUUCCUUGGCUAAUAUCCAAGGGAAUUGACGUUACCGACAGAAUAAGCACCGGCUAAUUCCGUGCCAGCAGCCGCGGUAA
RNAcentral lists this ribosomal RNA (494 nucleotides) under uncultured bacterium. RNAcentral describes it as "partial 16S ribosomal RNA". It matches the Rfam family "Bacterial small subunit ribosomal RNA", at positions 30 to 523 of the family's 1533-position model. The record is from RNAcentral.